Long non-coding RNA from Brienomyrus brachyistius, 224 nucleotides. RefSeq lists it as uncharacterized. The transcript is spliced from 3 exons. Lineage: Eukaryota; Metazoa; Chordata; Actinopteri; Osteoglossiformes; Mormyridae. The record is from RefSeq and is a predicted model, not a curated record.
AGUUAAAGCGAAUUAGAAAACAGGUUCCUGUACUUCAGUCUCAUAUACUGCAGGUGUACCACAGAUGUACCUCCAUAUACUAUAGGUGUACCACAGGUGUACCUCUAUAUACUGCAGGUGUACCUCAGGUAUACCUCUAUAUACUGCAGGUGUACCACAGAUGUACCUCCAUAUAAUGCAGGUGUACCACAGAUGUACCUCCAUAUAAUGCAGGUGUACCACAG